RNAcentral lists this ribosomal RNA (255 nucleotides) under uncultured bacterium. RNAcentral describes it as "partial 16S ribosomal RNA". It matches the Rfam family "Bacterial small subunit ribosomal RNA", at positions 524 to 776 of the family's 1533-position model. The record is from RNAcentral.
UACGUAGGGUCCGAGCGUUUGUCCGGAAUUACUGGGCGUAAAGAGCUCGUAGGUGGUUUGUCGCGUUGUUCGUGAAAACUCACAGCUCAACUGUGAGCGUGCGGGCGAUACGGGCAGACUAGAGUACUGCAGGGGAGACUGGAAUUCCUGGUGUAGCGGUGGAAUGCGCAGAUAUCAGGAGGAACACCGGUGGCGAAGGCGGGUCUCUGGGCAGUAACUGACGCUGAGGAGCGAAAGCGUGGGGGAGCGAACAGG